RNAcentral lists this long non-coding RNA (461 nucleotides) under Elaeis guineensis (African oil palm). RNAcentral describes it as "long non-coding RNA (EGUI_LNC016831)". The record is from RNAcentral. Lineage: Eukaryota; Viridiplantae; Streptophyta; Magnoliopsida; Arecales; Arecaceae.
GUCCUUCCUAUAUAAGGAUUUAUUAAAUAAAUAUAAUUCUAAAACUUCCCCUCAAGCUGGAGUAUAUAUAGCAAAUAUAUCCAGCUUGUUACACAGAGUUAAAAAUACCAAAAGACAGAGAUCUAAUGAAAAUAUCAGCUAACUGCUCGAAUGGAGUGAAAGGUGUUGUGAUGAACUUGUUGCAGCAUAGAAUUGGGAGUCAGAGGCGUCGGGAGUUGUUUGUUGUCGUUAUUUGAGGACACUAUAGCAGCCAAAGAAGAGGACAGAAAUAGCCAGAUUGCUAGAUGGUGAAAGAGGGGGCGCAGAGAAAUCACAAGCAAUGUUCCACUUCCAUGAUUAGUAGAUAGCUAGAAAGAAAGUCAGAUAACCUUCACACAGUAUAGGAAAGAUACCUAUGCUGUAUAGAAGAAGGGAAGAGAAAGAAGAUCAAGAAACAGGGAGAAGAUCAAAAAAUGGAGGGU